UACGAAGGGGGCUAGCGUUGUCCGGAAUCACUGGGCGUAAAGGGCGCGUAGGCGGCUUCUUAAGCGUGCGGUGAAAGCCCGGGGCUCAACCCCGGGUCGGCCGUGCGAACUGGGAAGCUCGAGCCCACUAGAGGCAGGCGGAAUUCCGGGUGUAGCGGUGGAAUGCGUAGAGAUCCGGAAGAACGCCGGUGGCGAAGGCGGCCUGCUGGGGUGGAGCUGACGCUGAGGCGCGACAGCGUGGGUAGCAAACAGG
Molecule: ribosomal RNA, 253 nt
Filed under: uncultured bacterium
Lineage: Bacteria
Description: partial 16S ribosomal RNA
Rfam family: Bacterial small subunit ribosomal RNA
Source: RNAcentral